UACGAAGGGGGCUAGCGUUGCUCGGAAUUACUGGGCGUAAAGCGCACGUAGGCGGCUUUCUAAGUCGGUGGUGAAAUCCUGGAGCUCAACUCCAGAACUGCCUUCGAUACUGGAAAGCUCGAGUCCGGGAGAGGUGAGUGGAACUGCGAGUGUAGAGGUGAAAUUCGUAGAUAUUCGCAAGAACACCAAUGGCGAAGGCGGCUCACUGGCCCGGUACUGACGCUGAGGUGCGAAAGCGUGGGGAGCAAACAGG
This 253-nucleotide ribosomal RNA is filed under the name uncultured bacterium. RNAcentral describes it as "partial 16S ribosomal RNA". It matches the Rfam family "Bacterial small subunit ribosomal RNA", at positions 524 to 776 of the family's 1533-position model. The record is from RNAcentral.